RNAcentral lists this ribosomal RNA (159 nucleotides) under Rinodina roscida. RNAcentral's name for it is "5.8S ribosomal RNA". It matches the Rfam family "5.8S ribosomal RNA". From Rfam's summary of the family: 5.8S ribosomal RNA (5.8S rRNA) is a component of the large subunit of the eukaryotic ribosome. It is transcribed by RNA polymerase I as part of the 45S precursor that also contains 18S and 28S rRNA. Functionally, it is thought that 5.8S rRNA may be involved in ribosome translocation. The record is from RNAcentral. Lineage: Eukaryota; Fungi; Ascomycota; Lecanoromycetes; Caliciales; Physciaceae.
AAAACUUUCAACAACGGAUCUCUUGGCAAAAGUAUCGAUGAAGAACGCAGCGAAAUGCGAAAAGUAAUGUGAAUUGCAGAAUUCCGUGAAUCAUCGAAUCUUUGAACGCACAUUGCGCCCUUUGGUAUUCCGAAGGGCAUGCCUGUUCGAGCGUCAUUG